This is a non-coding RNA of Podarcis lilfordi (Lilford's wall lizard), 1250 nucleotides long. The record is from the annotation of a GenBank genome assembly. Lineage: Eukaryota; Metazoa; Chordata; Lepidosauria; Squamata; Lacertidae.
CCUGGAAAAGACCCUGAUGUUGGGAAAGAUGGAGGGCACAAGGAGAAGGGGACGACAGAGGACCAGAUGGUUGGACAGUGUUCUCGAAGCUACGAACGUGAGUUUGACCAAACUGCGGGAGGCAGUGGAAGACAGGAGUGCCUGGCGUGCUCUGGUCCAGGGGGUCACGACUAAAUGACAACAAGUUGAGGCCGACAAUGCAGAGCCGUGUUUACAGAUCUGUAGUACAGUGGUACCUUGGUUCUCAAACGCCUUGGUACUCAAACAGCUUGGAACCCAAACACCUCAAACCCGGAAGUAAGUGUUCCAGUUUGCAAACAUUUUUCAGAAGCCAAACGUGCUCCGUUUUGUGUUAUGCUUCUGUUUUGAGUGUUACGCUGAGGUCUGUCUGUUUUUGCUAUUUAUUUUGCAUUUUUGUUUCUGCUGCUCUUUUUUGUUUUGUUUUUGUGACUGUGUGGAACCCAGUUCAGCUACUGAUCGAUUGUGUGACUGCAGUAGAUGGUUUAUUGCUUUCAUUUUAUGGAUCAAUGGUCUUGUUAGAUAGUAAAAUGCAUGUUAAAUUGCUAUUUUAGGGGUUGUUUUUACAAGUCUGGAAUGGAUAAUCCCUUUUGCAUUACUUUCUUUGGGGAAGCAUGCCUUGGUUUUGGAAUGGAUUAAGUUUGAGAACCAAGGUACCACUGUACACCCUUGAAGGUUGCUUCCAUCUGCAGAUCUCUCUUCCCACAGGUGGAGGUAUUCCCCUUUUGCUUGGUCGAUUUGAGCUGCCUUGUGGAAUCAGAUAUGCACCCACGAUGGAAAAACCCAAAGACGCUGCAGGAACGAGUACAGGGGCAGCUUUGUACUUUAGCUUUAUUUUUAAAAAACAAGUCAUGCACAACACAAAAGGUGCUUAAAAUAAAAAUCCACCGCCACUUUCCACCAUCACAAACAGCGCCACCGAAAUGUUAAAACACACAAGAAGCCUCACAAUGCAUUUUUCUCUACUUGGAAAGUUUUUUUAAAGUUGUGCACCGUUAACCGAGACACAAGGUGCUUUAUUAAGCUCUGCAGAAAAUCCUAAAGGAGAGAGUCGCUUCCCGGAACAGAAUGCAGACUGCAAGGACCGCCUGGGCUGGUGGAUUGGGACCCGGAAAGGUUUCCUGUUUGCCGGAGAAGCCUUUAUCCAAGGAGGGUGAGGGUGCCAAAUUCCCUCUCCACCAGCCAGCAUCUCCUGCCAGCAAGCCUGAUGCCAAGGAGACAGAACCACUGGC